This 478-nucleotide ribosomal RNA is filed under the name uncultured bacterium. RNAcentral's name for it is "partial 16S ribosomal RNA". It matches the Rfam family "Bacterial small subunit ribosomal RNA", at positions 28 to 523 of the family's 1533-position model. The record is from RNAcentral.
GACGAACGCUGGCGGCGUGCUUAACACAUGCAAGUCGAACGGUAAGGCCCUUCGGGGUACACGAGUGGCGAACGGGUGAGUAACACGUGGGUGAUCUGCCCUGCACUUCAGGAUAAGCCUGGGAAACUGGGUCUAAUACCGGAUAGGACCACUGCCUGCAGGGGUGGUGGUGGAAAGUUUUUGCGGUGUGGGAUGGGCCCGCGGCCUAUCAGCUUGUUGGUGGGGUGAUGGCCUACCAAGGGGACGACGGGUAGCCGGCCUGAGAGGGUGACCGGCCACACUGGGACUGAGAUACGGCCCAGACUCCUACGGGAGGCAGCAGUGGGGAAUAUUGCACAAUGGGCGCAAGCCUGAUGCAGCGACGCCGCGUGAGGGAUGACGGCCUUCGGGUUGUAAACCUCUUUCAGUAGGGACGAAGCGCAAGUGACGGUACCUACAGAAGAAGGACCGGCCAACUACGUGCCAGCAGCCGCAGUAA